AUGGUCCGUCCCCUUCUCAAACAUCAUUUUGGCCCAGAGUCCAUUCAUGGGGCCUGCCGGGUGUUCCUGGGAAGAUGGGCAGAAAAUCCCAAGGUCCACUUAUCUCAGAAGCCAAGUGAAUACAGCAGCCCCAGGCCCUUGGAAUACUGGCUGCUUGACAGGAAGGUAGAUUCAACAUCGCUGCUGCUGGUUAUAGGGAGAUCAUCCACAACUGUUCAGACUUCAGGUCUCCGUUCCCACCAGGAGGCUCAGCAUAUUCCCACCUCACGAAACCAGCUAACUGCCAGCACAAGCUCUCUAGCUCCGAGUCGACUUUUCAGUGCUACAUUUCUUAGAAAGUUUUCCCAACACGUUGGCUGCUUUUGUAUGUCCGAAAUACAGGGCUCCUUAGGACACCAGGUGAAGUGA
This 408-nucleotide long non-coding RNA is filed under the name Papio anubis (olive baboon). Its description in RNAcentral is "lncRNA (ENSPANG00000042924.1)". The record is from RNAcentral. Lineage: Eukaryota; Metazoa; Chordata; Mammalia; Primates; Cercopithecidae.